CUCGCAUCGAUGAAGAACGCAGCGAAAUGCGAUAAGUAAUGUGAAUUGCAGAAUUCAGUGAAUCAUCGAAUCUUUGAACGCACCUUGCACCCUUUGGUAUUCCGAAGGGUACACCCGUUUGAGUGUCAUUGUAAUCUCACUUCAAAUACUUUUGUGUUUGAAUGUGGACUUGGAUGUUGCCGUGUUAUUACGGCUCGUCUCAAAUGCCUGAGUGUACCUUGCUUUUGCAAUGUAUCCGGUGUAAUAAACAUUUCACCAGAGCCAAGUCGCAAGACUGCAUUACAGAGUAAGCUCUAUGCUUCAAACCGUCCUUUUAGGACAAUCUCUGACAAUUUGACCUCAAAUCGGGUGGGACUACCCGCUGAACUUAAGCAUAUCAAUAAGCGGAGGAAAAGAAACU
RNAcentral lists this ribosomal RNA (400 nucleotides) under uncultured fungus. RNAcentral describes it as "eukaryotic LSU rRNA". The stretch from base 1 to 128 matches the Rfam family "5.8S ribosomal RNA", at positions 27 to 154 of the family's 154-position model. Lineage: Eukaryota; Fungi. The record is from RNAcentral.